This 4106-nucleotide long non-coding RNA is filed under the name Equus caballus (horse). RNAcentral's name for it is "lncRNA (ENSECAG00000050962.1)". Lineage: Eukaryota; Metazoa; Chordata; Mammalia; Perissodactyla; Equidae. The record is from RNAcentral.
AAAACAGGAAAAUUGGGGGCGAGCCCAAAAAUGGGGGCAUAGUUGUUGGGUUCAUGUGCUCCACUUCAGUGGCCCGGUAUUCACAGGUUCAGAUGCCAUCUGCUGACUUACACACCACUCAUCAAGCCAUGUUGUGGCUGCAUACAGAGUAGAGGAGGAUGGGCACAGAUGUUAGAUUAGCAAAAAUCUUCCUCAAGCAAAAAGAGGAAGAUUGGCAACAGAUGUUAGCUCAGAACCAAUUUUCUUCACCACAAAAAAAAAAAAAAGGAAAAAAGACAGUUAUUGAUCAGGUCCAGGCCAACUGGGGCUGAUGAUUGCAGAGGUGUUGUUUAACUACUUGGAUCAUUACUGUGGAUGGUAACUUCCUUCCUGGAUGGUGACUGUGGAUGGUAGUUUCCUUCCUGGAUGGUGACUGUGGAUGGUAGUUUCCUUCCUGGAUGGUGACUGUGGAUGGUAGUUUCCUCCUGGAUGGUGACUGUGGAUGGUAUGUCAUUCCUGGAUGGUGACUGUGGAUGGUGGUAUCACUACCUGGAUGGUGACUGUGGAUGGUAGUUUCCUUCCUGGAUGGUGACUGUGGAUGGUAGUAUCAUUCCUGGAUGGUGACAGUGGAUGGUAGUUUCCUUCCUGGAUGGUGACAGUGGAUGGUAGUUUCCUCCUGGAUGGUGACUGUGGAUGGUAGUGUCACUUCCUGGAUGGUGACUGUGGAUGGUAGUUUCCUUCCUGGAUGGUGACAGUGGAUGGUAGUGUCAUUCCUGGAUGGUGACUGUGGAUGGUAGUGUCAUUCCUGGAUGGUGACUGUGGAUGGUAGUUUCCUCCUGGAUGGUGACUGUGGAUGGUAGUUUCAUUCCUGGAUGGUGACUGUGGAUGGUAGUUUCCUCCUGGAUGGUGACUGUGGAUGGUAGUUUCCUUCCUGGAUGGUGACUGUGGAUGGUAGUUUCCUUCCGGGAUGGUGACUGUGGAUGGUAGUUUCCUCCUGGAUGGUGACUGUGGAUGGUAGUUUCCUACCUGGAUGGUGACUGUGGAUGGUAGUGUCAUUCCUGGAUGGCUACUGUAAAUAAUGGGUCAGAGUUAUACUUUCCUUUAUGAUGUUAUUAUAUGUUUGUAUUUUCACUGUCUUGCACUGAGGCUGCUGGUCCAAGGACCAAAUUGAAUAACAAGUCUCCAGACCACUGGUCUGUCAUCAGACAUUAAUUAACACAAGUGGGCCAUGGAACCCACCGUGUAACCUGCAAAUGUAGGCCUUGCUUAAUCAUUCUGGUGGGCACUGCAAACAUUUGUAGACAUUUGUAGUCUCAUCUGUGAUCUCGCUGUAACCAUCCUACUGUCCAAUUACUGAAAUUCCAUCAAGUUCAAAAACUCAGGAGGAGGUACAUGGAGUGUUGGAUGAAAUUCUAGUCCAAGAGAUGCUGGAUCACAGUAAAUCAUCAGCGUCUACAACACAAGUGACCGAAGCAACGUUAUCAACAAGAUUAUUCAAGGAAAAAGGUUGUACUCAUGGAGUUCUGGGAAGACUGAAGGAGGUAAAGAAGAAAUCAAAUAAAAAUCAAAAUGAAAAACUAUCAGUUCUGGGCAAAACCCUUCAAACUGUGGGAAGAUCUUCAGGACAUUCUUUCCAGUAAAUGGAAGAGGAGGAGCAUGGCUCAGAAGAGGCGCAGAGCGGUCAGCACGGCCGCCAGCUCCGAGGGGCUCCCUACAGCAGGAAACCCACCCACCCACCCCACCCUCAGGAAUAAAGGACUUAUGUAGACACACAGGUAUGGUUAGCCACCCAUAGAAGGAGAGCUGUUUCGUUCAUGAAAUCCGAAGAAGAGUUCACUUAUUUAGACCAUUUAUUUAGACGUCAAGCUAGAGGGUAUGUGGGUUUCUUUUCGUUGUUUUUUUCUAAAGGAAACAAGAAAAUUAUCAAGUCCGAGAAGAGCACCAUCGAAAGGUUCCUCUUUUCUAACAGAAUAAGGUCUGAGGAAGGUUAGCCUCAGAGCUUCUGAGAAUUCUGUCCGUGAUGAACCAGAGUUUGUAGUGGCCUGCAGGCCAGCUGCCCGGCUCCCUCCUCCUGCAGCCGCAGAAAAGCGCACAUGCACGUCUACAAAACACACACUCAGUUUCCCUGCGCUGUAGUGUUUACAGGCCUGGGAAAGUGCAGAGUGGGUCUCUGUGGCAUGGGAGAGGAAAGUGCGCCCCAAGUGGGGUGUCCGCCCCACAGCACUUCCUGGGGGGGCGACUGAACAUAUCUUCCGGCAAGUCUGCUCGUCCAAGCCCAUCCUGACCCUGGGCAGGCUCCAUGGCUGCAGACUCAUGAGGUGCCCAGGCUGGAAAGAGUUACUCAGGACAGGUGUGGUUGUCCCGUUUCUCCACAAAGGCAGGUCCGGGGAAGUUGGUGAAUGCUAUACCAGAACGAGCCUGGAUAGAGAACUCCCGUCCCGAGACACAGUCUUGGCAAUGGAUUGGUAUUUGUUCUAAAACACCGUUUUUCAAGGUAGUUGGGAACUGAGUUAAACUAAACCAUUUUGGGGCCAGCCCCAUGGCCGAGUGGUUAAGUUCACGCCCUCCACUUUGGCAGCCCAGGGUUUCAAUGAGCACAUCAGGCCAUGCUGAGGCAGCGUCCCACAGGCCACAACUAGAAGGACACACAACUAGAAUAUAUAGCUGUAUACUGGGGGGCUUUGGGGAGAAAAGAAGAAGAAGAAGAAAAUAUUGGCAGCAGUUGUUAGUCGGGUGGCAAUCUUUAAAAAAAACCAAACAACUAAAUGAUUUUAUUUGUAACUGUGGGCUGUACGCUCUUCUCAAGAGAGACAGACGUCUUCUCCUCUCUUCCCUAAUAUCAGCAAGUCAGCUGUAACACCGAGGAGUGGGGAUUAGAGGCAGAGACUUGAGGCCCCUAUCCUAUUUCCACAACACCAUUCUGCAGCCUCUCUACCAAUAAACAGGUAUUGCAGUGUGGGGAUUUUUUUCUGUUUUUAUGAAUAUAGUUUUAAUUUUUCUGUUUUGUGCUUGAAUCUCACAAAACAUUUUUAGAGUACUUUGUGAUUUGUAAGCUGUUUGCAUGCGCAUGUUGCCACUGAACCCCCACCACAGUGCUGGGAGGGAGCUGUCACCUCCACUUGGUCUCCACUCGGAGACAGCAGGCGACUUUCCCCUUGUCACACGGUCACAUGGUCCGUGGUAGACCCAGUGCUCUGUCUCGGCCUGGGAUCUUCCUGCCACACGUUCUAACAGUCAACAGCAUCACGCUUUCCAAGCAGGAUCUUCCAGAGCUGGUCCCCAGGAGAACUUUGACAGAGCAAGACCGACCUCAAUAAAACAAAGUAUAAAAACAUCGUUGACUUGGCCUCUCCCUUUCCCUCACUCCAUUCCUGAUCUCGUGGGAUCCCUGAUGGCAGGGAUUUUCAAAGGCUGAAAGUUUAAUGCUUUCAUGUUUGACCCUAUCGGAAUGUCUUCUCUCAGUGACGGCAUCAACAAGGCCGAGUCAAACGUUGGUUCUCAGUGCCAUCGAGGCUCACGGAGAGUCCAGGCCGCUUCUCAGGGUUAGGGACCUUCAGCCACUGCUCUCAGGAGGCUGAAAGGACAGCUGAGGAACUAAAUUUAUGAACGAACACAUAAAUAUUAGUAUUAGCUAGCAAAAGUCAAGUGAUGACUUGGCUUAUGGGCAGUAAGCGUUAAAAAACGUGCCUUUGAACUGGAAGUGGGCCUUCCACUGGGUCCAGAGCCGAAUGGGACCCUCCAUGGAGAAGAGUCAACCCUCUCAGGAGAGAAGCACAGUGGGUCACUGCGGGCACUGCCGCCCUGGGAGCCAGAGUGACGCCCUAGUACAUCCUAUGGGUUAGAAAAAUGUUAAAAAAUACUGAUCUGCUCUGUAUGAUUUCAACUUUGUGAAAUUUACUGAGGGCUGCUUUAUGGCCAAACAUGGUCAAUUUUAGUGACUGUUCUAUUUGGAACUUAGGAGGAACGUGUAUCCUGCUGUUGUUGGGGACAGUGUCCUGCAAAGGCAAUUGUGUGGUUUCCCUUUUCUCCUCACCAACUGACCUUUGUCUAUUUGGUCCAUCACUUUCCGAGGGAAGUGUGUUAAAGUCCCCCACUACGAUUGUGAGUGAUUUAUUCCUUUACAAUUC